RNAcentral lists this long non-coding RNA (206 nucleotides) under Mytilus galloprovincialis (Mediterranean mussel). Lineage: Eukaryota; Metazoa; Mollusca; Bivalvia; Mytilida; Mytilidae. The record is from RNAcentral.
GCUGUACUUCUAUUGCAGGGUAUUGGGCAUAUUUUGUUAAAGACAAUUCAAAUAUGGUUCGCAUUCAGUCGAAUUCAUAUGUAUUGCUAUGUUUAACACUGAUUAUCAUUCUUUUGAAUAAUGUUGCUAAUGUUGCAGGAUUAUAUCAUUGAAUUCACUUCUUUGAUGUAGCAUUACAACAUGUGCAAAAAAUUCAUGGAAACACA